RNAcentral lists this small RNA (30 nucleotides) under Sinorhizobium meliloti 2011. RNAcentral's name for it is "putative ncRNA". Lineage: Bacteria; Pseudomonadati; Pseudomonadota; Alphaproteobacteria; Hyphomicrobiales; Rhizobiaceae. The record is from RNAcentral.
AACAAAAAUCGCCUGUCAGGCGUUGGAAUC